This 2709-nucleotide ribosomal RNA is filed under the name Salmonella enterica subsp. enterica serovar Paratyphi A. RNAcentral's name for it is "partial 23S ribosomal RNA". It matches the Rfam family "Bacterial large subunit ribosomal RNA". Lineage: Bacteria; Pseudomonadati; Pseudomonadota; Gammaproteobacteria; Enterobacterales; Enterobacteriaceae. The record is from RNAcentral.
CCCGAGGAAAAGAAAUCAACCGAGAUUCCCCCAGUAGCGGCGAGCGAACGGGGAGGAGCCCAGAGCCUGAAUCAGCAUGUGUGUUAGUGGAAGCGUCUGGAAAGGCGCGCGAUACAGGGUGACAGCCCCGUACACAAAAGCGCAUGUGCUGUGAGCUCGAUGAGUAGGGCGGGACACGUGGUAUCCUGUCUGAAUAUGGGGGGACCAUCCUCCAAGGCUAAAUACUCCUGACUGACCGAUAGUGAACCAGUACCGUGAGGGAAAGGCGAAAAGAACCCCGGCGAGGGGAGUGAAAAAGAACCUGAAACCGUGUACGUACAAGCAGUGGGAGCACAGGUUUACCUGUGUGACUGCGUACCUUUUGUAUAAUGGGUCAGCGACUUAUAUUCUGUAGCAAGGUUAACCGUAUAGGGGAGCCGGAGGGAAACCGAGUCUUAACCGGGCGUUAAGUUGCAGGGUAUAGACCCGAAACCCGGUGAUCUAGCCAUGGGCAGGUUGAAGGUUGGGUAACACUAACUGGAGGACCGAACCGACUAAUGUUGAAAAAUUAGCGGAUGACCUGUGGCUGGGGGUGAAAGGCCAAUCAAACCGGGAGAUAGCUGGUUCUCCCCGAAAGCUAUUUAGGUAGCGCCUCGUGAAUUCAUCUCCGGGGGUAGAGCACUGUUUCGGCUAGGGGGCCAUCCCGGCUUACCAACCCGAUGCAAACUGCGAAUACCGGAGAAUGUUAUCACGGGAGACACACGGCGGGUGCUAACGUCCGUCGUGAAGAGGGAAACAACCCAGACCGCCAGCUAAGGUCCCAAAGUCAUGGUUAAGUGGGAAACGAUGUGGGAAGGCCCAGACAGCCAGGAUGUUGGCUUAGAAGCAGCCAUCAUUUAAAGAAAGCGUAAUAGCUCACUGGUCGAGUCGGCCUGCGCGGAAGAUGUAACGGGGCUAAACCAUGCACCGAAGCUGCGGCAGCGACACUCAGGUGUUGUUGGGUAGGGGAGCGUUCUGUAAGCCUGUGAAGGUGGCCUGUGAGGGUUGCUGGAGGUAUCAGAAGUGCGAAUGCUGACAUAAGUAACGAUAAAGCGGGUGAAAAGCCCGCUCGCCGGAAGACCAAGGGUUCCUGUCCAACGUUAAUCGGGGCAGGGUGAGUCGACCCCUAAGGCGAGGCCGAAAGGCGUAGUCGAUGGGAAACGGGUUAAUAUUCCCGUACUUGGUGUUACUGCGAAGGGGGGACGGAGAAGGCUAUGUUGGCCGGGCGACGGUUGUCCCGGUUUAAGCGUGUAGGUGUGUGUUCCAGGUAAAUCCGGUUCACUUUAACACUGAGGCGUGACGACGAGGCACUACGGUGCUGAAGCAACAAAUGCCCUGCUUCCAGGAAAAGCCUCUAAGCAUCAGGUAACAUCAAAUCGUACCCCAAACCGACACAGGUGGUCAGGUAGAGAAUACCAAGGCGCUUGAGAGAACUCGGGUGAAGGAACUAGGCAAAAUGGUGCCGUAACUUCGGGAGAAGGCACGCUGACACGUAGGUGAAGUGAUUUACUCAUGGAGCUGAAGUCAGUCGAAGAUACCAGCUGGCUGCAACUGUUUAUUAAAAACACAGCACUGUGCAAACACGAAAGUGGACGUAUACGGUGUGACGCCUGCCCGGUGCCGGAAGGUUAAUUGAUGGGGUCAGCGCAAGCGAAGCUCCUGAUCGAAGCCCCGGUAAACGGCGGCCGUAACUAUAACGGUCCUAAGGUAGCGAAAUUCCUUGUCGGGUAAGUUCCGACCUGCACGAAUGGCGUAAUGAUGGCCAGGCUGUCUCCACCCGAGACUCAGUGAAAUUGAACUCGCUGUGAAGAUGCAGUGUACCCGCGGCAAGACGGAAAGACCCCGUGAACCUUUACUAUAGCUUGACACUGAACAUUGAGCCUUGAUGUGUAGGAUAGGUGGGAGGCUUUGAAGUGUGGACGCCAGUCUGCAUGGAGCCGACCUUGAAAUACCACCCUUUAAUGUUUGAUGUUCUAACGUGGACCCGUUACCCGGGUUGCGGACAGUGUCUGGUGGGUAGUUUGACUGGGGCGGUCUCCUCCUAAAGAGUAACGGAGGAGCACGAAGGUUGGCUAAUCCUGGUCGGACAUCAGGAGGUUAGUGCAAUGGCAUAAGCCAGCUUGACUGCGAGCGUGACGGCGCGAGCAGGUGCGAAAGCAGGUCAUAGUGAUCCGGUGGUUCUGAAUGGAAGGGCCAUCGCUCAACGGAUAAAAGGUACUCCGGGGAUAACAGGCUGAUACCGCCCAAGAGUUCAUAUCGACGGCGGUGUUUGGCACCUCGAUGUCGGCUCAUCACAUCCUGGGGCUGAAGUAGGUCCCAAGGGUAUGGCUGUUCGCCAUUUAAAGUGGUACGCGAGCUGGGUUUAGAACGUCGUGAGACAGUUCGGUCCCUAUCUGCCGUGGGCGCUGGAGAACUGAGGGGGGCUGCUCCUAGUACGAGAGGACCGGAGUGGACGCAUCACUGGUGUUCGGGUUGUCAUGCCAAUGGCACUGCCCGGUAGCUAAAUGCGGAAGAGAUAAGUGCUGAAAGCAUCUAAGCACGAAACUUGCCCCGAGAUGAGUUCUCCCUGAGACUUUAGGUCUCCUGAAGGAACGUUGAAGACGACGACGUUGAUAGGCCGGGUGUGUAAGCGCAGCGAUGCGUUGAGCUAACCGGUACUAAUGAACCGUGAGGCUUAACCUUACAACGCCG